CCGAUGACUCGGGGAUAGCCUUUCGAAAGAAAGAUUAAUACCCGAUGGCAUAGUUCUUCCGCAUGGUAGAACUAUUAAAGAAUUUCGGUCAUCGAUGGGGAUGCGUUCCAUUAGGUUGUUGGCGGGGUAACGGCCCACCAAGCCUUCGAUGGAUAGGGGUUCUGAGAGGAAGGUCCCCCACAUUGGAACUGAGACACGGUCCAAACUCCUACGGGAGGCAGCAGUGAGGAAUAUUGGUCAAUGGACGAGAGUCUGAACCAGCCAAGUAGCGUGAAGGAUGACUGCCCUAUGGGUUGUAAACUUCUUUUAUACGGGAAUAAAGUGAGGCACGUGUGCCUUUUUGUAUGUACCGUAUGAAUAAGGAUCGGCUAACUCCGUGCCAGCAGCCGCGGUAAUACGGAGGAUCCGAGCGUUAUCCGGAUUUAUUGGGUUUAAAGGGAGCGUAGGCGGACGCUUAAGUCAGUUGUGAAAGUUUGCGGCUCAACCGUAAAAUUGCAGUUGAUACUGGGUGUCUUGAGUACAGUAGAGGCAGGCGGAAUUCGUGGUGUAGCGGUGAAAUGCUUAGAUAUCACGAAGAACUCCGAUUGCGAAGGCAGCCUGCUGGACUGUAACUGACGCUGAUGCUCGAAAGUGUGGGUAUCAAACAGGAUUAGAUACCCUGGUAGUCCACACAGUAAACGAUGAAUACUCGCUGUUUGCGAUAUACAGUAAGCGGCC
Molecule: ribosomal RNA, 717 nt
Filed under: uncultured bacterium
Lineage: Bacteria
Description: bacterial SSU rRNA
Rfam family: Bacterial small subunit ribosomal RNA
Source: RNAcentral